Molecule: ribosomal RNA, 458 nt
Filed under: Streptococcus parasanguinis
Lineage: Bacteria; Bacillati; Bacillota; Bacilli; Lactobacillales; Streptococcaceae
Description: bacterial SSU rRNA
Rfam family: Bacterial small subunit ribosomal RNA
Source: RNAcentral
GAUGAACGCGGGCGGCGUGCCUAAUACAUGCAAGUAGAACGCUGAAGCUUGGUGCUUGCACCGAGCGGAUGAGUUGCGAACGGGUGAGUAACGCGUAGGUAACCUGCCUCUUAGCGGGGGAUAACUAUUGGAAACGAUAGCUAAUACCGCAUAAAAGACGAUAUCGCAUGAUAUUGAUUUGAAAGGUGCAAUUGCAUCACUAAGAGAUGGACCUGCGUUGUAUAAGCUAGUUGGUGAGGUAACGGCUCACCAAGGCGACGAUACAUAGCCGACCUGAGAGGGUGAUCGGCCACACUGGGACUGAGACACGGCCCAGACUCCUACGGGAGGCAGCAGUAGGGAAUCUUCGGCAAUGGGGGCAACCCUGACCGAGCAACGCCGCGUGAGUGAAGAAGGUUUUCGGAUCGUAAAGCUCUGUUGUAAGAGAAGAACGAGUGUGAGAGUGGAAAGUUCACACU